AGUUAUUUCUCAAGAAAAGCAACUCCAAGGCAAAUAAUCGUCAGAUUCACCAGGGAUGAAAUGAAAGAAAAAUGUUAAUGGUAACCAGAGAGAAAUGUUGAGUUACCCAUGAAGGGAAGCCCAUCACACUCACAGAAGAUCUCUUGGCAGAAACCCUACAAGCCAGAAGAGAGGGAGGCCAAUAUUCAACAUCCUUAAAGAAAAGAACAUUAAAUCGAGAAUUUCAUAUCCAGCCAAACUAAGCUUCAUAAGUGAAGGAGAAAUAAAAUCCUUUACAUAGAAGCAAUUGCUGAGAUGUUUUGUUUACCACCAGGCCUGCCUUACAAAAGCUCCUGAAGAAAAUACUAAACAUGGAAAGGAACAACCAGUACCAGCCACUCCAAAAACA
Molecule: long non-coding RNA, 388 nt
Organism: Sapajus apella (tufted capuchin)
Lineage: Eukaryota; Metazoa; Chordata; Mammalia; Primates; Cebidae
Exons: 3
Source: RefSeq, a predicted model, not a curated record